RNAcentral lists this ribosomal RNA (279 nucleotides) under uncultured bacterium. Its description in RNAcentral is "partial 16S ribosomal RNA". It matches the Rfam family "Bacterial small subunit ribosomal RNA", at positions 506 to 784 of the family's 1533-position model. The record is from RNAcentral.
UGCCAGCCGCCGCGGUAAUACGGAGGGUGCAAGCGUUGUUCGGAAUUAUUGGGCGUAAAGCGCGUGUAGGCGGUUCGUUAAGUCUGAUGUGAAAGCCCGGGGCUCAACCCCGGAAGUGCAUUGGAAACUGGCGAACUUGAGUACGGGAGAGGAAAGUGGAAUUCCGAGUGUAGGGGUGAAAUCCGUAGAUAUUCGGAGGAACACCAGUGGCGAAGGCGGCUUUCUGGGAAGUUAUUGACGCUGAGGCACGAAAGCGUGGGGAGCAAACGGGAUUAGAUA